Molecule: ribosomal RNA, 1124 nt
Filed under: uncultured organism
Description: bacterial SSU rRNA
Rfam family: Bacterial small subunit ribosomal RNA
Source: RNAcentral
GGACUGAGACACGGCCCAGACUCCUACGGGAGGCAGCAGCUAAGAAUCUUCCGCAAUGGACGAAAGUCUGACGGAGCGACGCCGCGUGAACGAAGAAGGCCGGAAGGUUGUAAAGUUCUUUUGCGGGUGAAGAAUAAGGCGAGGAGGGAAUGCCUCGCUGAUGACGUUAGCCUGUGAAUAAGCCCCGGCUAAUUACGUGCCAGCAGCCGCGGUAACACGUAAGGGGCGAGCGUUGUUCGGAAUUAUUGGGCGUAAAGGGCGUGUAGGCUGUUUUGUAAGCCUGGUGUGAAAGUGCACGGCUUAACUGUGUAUGUGCGCUGGGAACUGCAAGACUAGAGUCCGGAAGGGGGAGGUAGAAUUCCUGGUGUAGGGGUGAAAUCUGUAGAUAUCAGGAAGAAUACCGGUGGCGAAGGCGACCUCCUGGUCCUGGACUGACGCUGAGGCGCGAAAGCGUGGGGAGCGAACAGGAUUAGAUACCCUGGUAGUCCACGCUGUAAACGAUGUGCACUAGGUGUUGGGGCAAGAGCUUCAGUGCCGAAGCGAACGCGAUAAGUGCACCGCCUGGGGAGUAUGCUCGCAAGGGUGAAACUCAAAGGAAUUGACGGGGGCCCGCACAAGCGGUGGAGCAUGUGGGUUAAUUCGAUGAUACGCGAGGAACCUUACCAGGGCUUGACAUAUACCGGGAGCCGUGAGAGAUCACGGUGCCCCUUUGGGGCCGGUAUACAGGUGCUGCAUGGCUGUCGUCAGCUCGUGCUGUGAAGUGUUGGGUUAAGUCCCGCAACGAGCGCAACCCCUACUGUCUGUUGCCAACAGGUGAAGCUGGGGACUCAGACGGAACUGCCGGUGACAAACCGGAGGAAGGUGGGGACGACGUCAAGUCAUCAUGGCCCUUAUGUCCUGGGCUACACACGUGCUACAAUGGCCGGUACAGAGUGAGGCGAAACCGCGAGGUGGAGCAAAUCACAGAAAACCGGUCUCAGUUCGGAUCGGAGUCUGAAACCCGACUUCGUGAAGGUGGAAUCGCUAGUAAUCGCGCAUCAGCAUGGCGCGCUGAAUACGUUCCCGGGCCUUGUACACACCGCCCGUCACACCACCCGAGUUGGGGGUACCCGAAGUCGCUAGAC